RNAcentral lists this long non-coding RNA (1271 nucleotides) under Homo sapiens (human). RNAcentral describes it as "HSALNT0403795". Lineage: Eukaryota; Metazoa; Chordata; Mammalia; Primates; Hominidae. The record is from RNAcentral.
UAUAAUCAAACAAGGUAGGUCAGAUGUUUUAUGGCCAGUUUUUACACAGAAAGGCAGAGGCAAAAUUAAGAGUAAUAUAUUUAGGUUUUAUGGUUGGCUUUGCGGAAAAGGGGUUCUGGUGUCUAUGACCCGCCUGGGGCAACAGGGAUUCUAGUUUCUAUGGCAACCCUCAAGGGAGAACAGGACUGAAAGGUGGGCAGGAGAAGGUCAAAGAAAAAGUUCUUCUAAGGCUGUUUCUGAGGCCUUCAUUUUAUGGUAUUGUUUUCUGAGUCCCAAGAGAAACAAUCCAAAUGUCCCUUAAUUAGGGACUAAAUGAAAACCAAAACCUAACUCUGGUGCACCUACACAGCAAGGCUGAACCUCAAAUUUAUUCAGUGGAAGCAGCCAGACUCAAAAGACUUUGCCUAUCAUGAAAAAAUCUUCCUGUGACUUCCUACAACUUUUGGGAUAAGGACCAAAGUAUUUCAAAUGACCUACAAGAUCCUCUAUCAUCUGGACUAUGGACUUACUUGCUCACUCCAGCUGUCCUAUGCUUUCUUCAGCGCCUCCAGUGUAGCCUGCUCUCUUUCACCUCAGGGCUAACUUCUAUUUUUUCUCCAGGUCGAAUGAUCUAAAUAUCACUUCCUCAGGGUGGAAGGAAAUCUUCUGGGACUAGCUAGUCAAGGUCUCUGUGCCCCUUGUCAUAUGUUCCACAUUACCUUGAAUGUCCCCUUUCAUAACUCAUCACACCUGAGAUUACCUAUUUGUUGUCAACUGUGCUGGACUGUGAACUCCACAAAGAUUCCACUUCUAGCUUACUCAGUGCUAUAUCCCCGAACCUCAGAAGAGUAUCUGCUACAGCAGUACUCCUUAUCUGUGGUUUCAGUCAGCUGUGGCACAGUACAAUAACAUAUUUUGAGAGAGAAACUACAUUCAUAUAACCUUUACCACAGUAUAUUAUUAAUAACUGUUCUAUUAUUAGUUAUUGUUAAUCUCUUACUGUGCCUAAUUUAUAAGUUAAACUUUAUCAUAGGUAUGUAUGUAGAGGAAAAAACAGUAUAUAUAGGGUUCGGUACUAUCUGUGGUUUCAGGUAGCCACUGGGCAUCUUAGAACAUAUACCCCAUGGAUACAGGGAGGACUACUGUAGUCUACUUGCUGAAAAAAUUAAUUGUGGCUUAGUCAGGCAUUUCGUUGAGUACGAUGGACCUUACUUUGGAACUCAGAAAUCACUUUCUCCUGUGAAAAUAUCAAACUUGAAUGAACUUUUGGAAUAAAAUACUUUGUAAAAUGG